UACGUAGGGUGCGAGCGUUGUCCGGAAUUACUGGGCGUAAAGAGCUCGUAGGUGGUUUGUCGCGUUGUUCGUGAAAACUCACAGCUCAACUGUGGGCGUGCGGGCGAUACGGGCAGACUGGAGUACUGCAGGGGAGACUGGAAUUCCUGGUGUAGCGGCGAAAUGCGCAGAUAUCAGGAGGAACACCGGUGGCGAAGGCGGAUCUCUGGGCCAUUACUGACGCUGAGGAGCGAAAGCGUGGGGAGCGAACAGG
RNAcentral lists this ribosomal RNA (253 nucleotides) under uncultured bacterium. RNAcentral describes it as "partial 16S ribosomal RNA". It matches the Rfam family "Bacterial small subunit ribosomal RNA", at positions 524 to 776 of the family's 1533-position model. The record is from RNAcentral.